AGGACUAACGCUGGCGGCGUGCCUAACACAUGCAAGUCGAACGAGAGUAGCAAUACUCUAGUGGCAGACGGGUGAGUAACACGUGGUCAACCUACCUUUAAGUGGGGGAUAACUAGCCGAAAGGUUAGCUAAUACCGCAUACGAUCUUCGCGUGGCAUCACAUGAAGAUGAAAGGAGCAAUCCGCUGAAAGACGGGACCGCGUCCCAUUAGCCAGUUGGUGGGGUAACGGCCUACCAAAGCAACGAUGGGUAGCUGGCUUGAGAGAGCGACCAGCCACACUGGGACUGAGACACGGCCCAGACUCCUACGGGAGGCAGCAGUGAGGAAUUUUCCGCAAUGGGCGAAAGCCUGACGGAGCGACGCCGCGUGUGGGAUGAAGGCCUUCGGGUCGUAAACCACUGUCGAAGGGGAAGAUAUUGACGGUACCCUUGGAGGAAGCCCCGGCUAACUACGCGCCAGCAGCCGC
RNAcentral lists this ribosomal RNA (467 nucleotides) under uncultured bacterium. RNAcentral's name for it is "SSU rRNA". It matches the Rfam family "Bacterial small subunit ribosomal RNA", at positions 26 to 518 of the family's 1533-position model. The record is from RNAcentral.